Molecule: ribosomal RNA, 777 nt
Filed under: uncultured Neocallimastigales
Lineage: Eukaryota; Fungi; Neocallimastigomycota; Neocallimastigomycetes; Neocallimastigales
Description: partial large subunit ribosomal RNA
Rfam family: Eukaryotic large subunit ribosomal RNA
Source: RNAcentral
CGCAUCUGUGCAUGCAGCAUAUCAAUAAGCGGAGGAAAAGAAACUAACAAGGAUUCCCCUAGUAACGGCGAGUGAAGCGGGAAGAGCUCAAAUUUGAAAUCUUAAAGGGUUUCCCUUUACGAAUUGUAGUUUAAAGAAGUGUUUUCUGUUGAGGUUUUGGUAAAAGUUCUUUGGAAUAGGACAUCAUAGAGGGUGAGAAUCCCGUAUUUGACCUUUACUUUCAACUUUGUGAUACACUUUCAAAGAGUCGGAUUGUUUGGGAAUGCAGUCCAAAAUGGGUGGUAAAUUUCAUCUAAAGCUAAAUAUCGGCGAGAGACCGAUAGCGAACAAGUACCGUGAGGGAAAGGAUGAAAAGAACUUUGAAAAGAGAGUUAAACAGUACUGUGAAAUUGUCAAAAGGGAAGCGUUUGACACCAGUGUUGUUUUUCUGAAAAUCAAUUAAAGAACUGUUUAUGCUAAGUUGUUUAGACUUUAUCAGCUAACUGUUUAGUUUUGAGCUUUUCUUUAAUGCACUUUUCAGUUAACAAGUCAACAUCAAUUUCUUUUGCUGUAAAAAAGCUUGAGGAAGGUGGCUUGAGAUUCGUCUUAAGUGUUUAUAGCCUCUUGCCUAUGCAGUCGGGAGAGAUUGAGGUCUGCAGCGUAGAUCCUUCGGGGCUAAAUGCAUUUGUGCUAAGUUAUAGCAUUUUAUAGACAACUUGUUGACUAUGAUUUGUCUUGUAGCUUACUCGCUUAUGUUAUUUUACCUACGCUUAGGAUGUUGACAGCAGUAUAGACUGU